RNAcentral lists this ribosomal RNA (464 nucleotides) under uncultured bacterium. RNAcentral describes it as "bacterial SSU rRNA". It matches the Rfam family "Bacterial small subunit ribosomal RNA", at positions 330 to 792 of the family's 1533-position model. The record is from RNAcentral.
UCCAGACUCCUACGGGAGGCAGCAGUGAGGAAUAUUGGUCAAUGGCCGAGAGGCUGAACCAGCCAAGUCGCGUGAGGGAAGACGGCCCUACGGGUUGUAAACCUCUUUUGUCGGGGAGCAAAGCGAACCACAUGUGGUUCAUUGAGAGUACCCGAAGAAAAAGCAUCGGCUAACUCCGUGCCAGCAGCCGCGGUAAUACGGAGGAUGCGAGCGUUAUCCGGAUUUAUUGGGUUUAAAGGGUGCGCAGGCGGAGGUGUAAGUCAGCGGUCAAAUUGCGGGGCUCAACCCCGUACUGCCGUUGAAACUGCAUCCCUUGAGUGAGUGAGAAGUAAGCGGAAUGCGUGGUGUAGCGGUGAAAUGCAUAGAUAUCACGCAGAACGCCGAUUGCGAAGGCAGCAUACCGGCUCCACACUGACGCUGAGGCACGAAAGCGUGGGUAUCGAACAGGAUUAGAUACCCUUGUA